AUAUGAUGGAAAUUAAAUUUAUGUUUACCUUUGUUAUCUUUUCUUAAUUCAGCGAGAAUUGCAUGACUUUGGUAUUGUAAAGAGGAAGCCCAAGCAAAUAAUAGGACUCCUACAAUAUGGUGCCAAGUGAUAAAGUUUCCACUCAUGUGGACGUAAGCGGGACCUGGAAAUAACAUUAUAAUAUCACUGGCAAAGCCUGGAGCCUCUGUUAAAACUGAGAGACCAACACCAAAAUAAAAAGAGAAACCAAAAAUGUAAUGGACUAUGUUCAUCUUGGCAUCCGAGUAAACACUUAAAAAUAUACAUUCGCACAACCGGCGACUCACUUGGACAAUGAUUAAAGCCAUGGCAAUCAUCACCGAUUCUGGGGUCACUAUUGAUCAAUUGGAAAAAGACAAUUUGUUAUUCAAAUAUACACGGAUGAGUUAUAUCAAUCUAAUGUUCCAGGAAUUUUGAACCUAU
This is a long non-coding RNA of Tetranychus urticae (two-spotted spider mite), 462 nucleotides long. RefSeq lists it as uncharacterized. The record is from RefSeq and is a predicted model, not a curated record. NCBI's taxonomy places the organism in Eukaryota, Metazoa, Arthropoda, Arachnida, Trombidiformes, Tetranychidae.